This 427-nucleotide long non-coding RNA is filed under the name Bos taurus (domestic cattle). Its description in RNAcentral is "long non-coding RNA NONBTAT022095". Lineage: Eukaryota; Metazoa; Chordata; Mammalia; Artiodactyla; Bovidae. The record is from RNAcentral.
CCAUCACCCACAACCCGUGCAGCACUGUCUUCUGAACAGGCAGUACUUCUGUGACUCAGUGUCUUGGCUGACUUUGUUUUCUCUGGUCUUGAAGGCCCCGCCCCACCCACCUUGACAUCCACUCAAGUUUCCGUCUGGCCUGGAUGCCACCUGGUCUCCACAGCCUCUGAAGGCCCUCCAUCACAUCCCCAGGACACAGGACCUCUUGUUUCUUCUGCCAGCAUUGCUUGGUUCUCCCUCUGGGGUUAGUGAUCUGUCUCUUUGUUCUCAUGAAAAGUAGGCAUUAUUCCCCUCUGAAUAUAGAGGGACCAUGUGUUAUUUUUUAUACGUAGUACUUGUUUUCCUGUGUAUGGUACAUAGCCUGAGGCCAAUGAAUUCCUUCAGUCAGAGUGUAUAGGUAAAGCUUUUAAAAGUUGUUUUUAAUCAC